CGAUUUUUACGCAAGAACAACUAGGCGUCGCUAAUAUGCACUCGUACAUCCGGUUGUUGCAUGACAGAGUGUUGCGCGGGACUGCAUUGUCAAACAGAUUCCGUUUCGUGUCUUCCGCCCAUUGCAGCGGAAUGACAAUUGCUUCGGAACCGGAAUCAGUUAGACAGCGCUUAGUCGAUAGAUUCAUGUCAUCCGGCAAUACAGAAAGUCUGAUUCUUUGGGCGUAUAAUACCCGACCAGUAGGAGCACACUGGUUGUUGCUUGCUAUCAACC
Long non-coding RNA from Vicia villosa (hairy vetch), 273 nucleotides. RefSeq lists it as uncharacterized. The transcript has 3 exons. The record is from RefSeq and is a predicted model, not a curated record. NCBI's taxonomy places the organism in Eukaryota, Viridiplantae, Streptophyta, Magnoliopsida, Fabales, Fabaceae.